AUGCAAGUCGAGGGGCAGCGAGGGAGUGGCAACACUUCUGUCGGCGACCGGCGCACGGGUGCGUAACGCGUAUGCAACCUACCUUUAACAGGGGGAUAACCGGGAGAAAUUCCGACUAAUACCGCAUACAUCCUCCGGGGGCAUCCCCGGGGGAUGAAAGAAUUAUCGGUGAAGGAUGGGCAUGCGUGAUAUUAGGUAGUUGGCGGGGCAACGGCCCACCAAGCCCACGAUAUCUAGGGGUUCUGAGAGGAAGGUCCCCACAUUGGUACUGAGACACGGACCAAACUCC
RNAcentral lists this ribosomal RNA (289 nucleotides) under uncultured Bacteroidota bacterium. RNAcentral describes it as "uncultured Bacteroidetes bacterium partial 16S ribosomal RNA". It matches the Rfam family "Bacterial small subunit ribosomal RNA", at positions 55 to 339 of the family's 1533-position model. The record is from RNAcentral. Lineage: Bacteria; Pseudomonadati; Bacteroidota.